CUUAGCUUAAUGGAUAAAGCGUUUGGUUCCGAACCAAAUAAUAGGGGUUCAAUUCCCCUA
Molecule: transfer RNA, 60 nt
Filed under: insect gut metagenome
Rfam family: tRNA
About the family: Transfer RNA (tRNA) molecules are approximately 80 nucleotides in length. Their secondary structure includes four short double-helical elements and three loops (D, anti-codon, and T loops).
Source: RNAcentral